This 492-nucleotide ribosomal RNA is filed under the name uncultured bacterium. RNAcentral describes it as "partial 16S ribosomal RNA". It matches the Rfam family "Bacterial small subunit ribosomal RNA", at positions 28 to 507 of the family's 1533-position model. The record is from RNAcentral.
GAUGAACGCUAGCUACAGGCUUAACACAUGCAAGUCGAGGGGAAACGACAUCGCAAGCUUGCUUUUGAUGGGCGUCGACCGGCGCACGGGUGAGUAACGCGUAUCCAACCUGCCCAUCACUUGGGAAUAACCUUGCGAAAGUAAGACUAAUACCCAAUGAUAUCCCACGAAGGCAUCGGAAUGGGAUUAAAGAUUUAUCGGUGAUGGAUGGGGAUGCGUCUGAUUAGCUUGUUGGCGGGGUAACGGCCCACCAAGGCAACGAUCAGUAGGGGUUCUGAGAGGAAGGUCCCCCACAUUGGAACUGAGACACGGUCCAAACUCCUACGGGAGGCAGCAGUGAGGAAUAUUGGUCAAUGGGCGAGAGCCUGAACCAGCCAAGUAGCGUGCAGGAAGACGGCCCUAGGGGUUGUAAACUGCUUUUAUAAGGGAAUAAAGUGGGUCACGUGUGACUUUUUGCAUGUACCUUAUGAAUAAGGACCGGCUAAUUCCGUG